This 265-nucleotide ribosomal RNA is filed under the name uncultured bacterium. Its description in RNAcentral is "partial 16S ribosomal RNA". The record is from RNAcentral.
CUGCUGCCUCCCGUAGGAGUCUGGUCCGUGUCUCAGUACCAGUGUGGGGGACCUUCCUCUCAGAACCCCUACGCAUCGUCGCCACGGUGGGCCGUUACCCCGCCGUCUAGCUAAUGCGCCGCAUGCCCAUCCUCUUCCGAUGAAUCUUUCCUCGAUCUCGGAUGCCCGAAACCGAUAUACGCGGGAUUAGCCUCCCUUUCGGAAGGUUGUCCCCCUGAAGAGGGCAGGUUGCAUACGUGUUACUCACCCGUGCGCCGGUCGCCGG